This 254-nucleotide ribosomal RNA is filed under the name uncultured bacterium. RNAcentral's name for it is "partial 16S ribosomal RNA". It matches the Rfam family "Bacterial small subunit ribosomal RNA", at positions 524 to 776 of the family's 1533-position model. The record is from RNAcentral.
UACGGGGGGAGCAAGCGUUGUUCGGAUUUACUGGGCGUAAAGGGCGCGUAGGCGGUCAGCACAAGCCGGUUGUGAAAUCUCCGGGCUUAACCCGGAAAGGUCAACUGAUACUGUGCGACUAGAGUGCGGAAGGGGCAACUGGAAUUCUCGGUGUAGCGGUGAAAUGCGUAGAUAUCGAGAGGAACACCUGCGGCGAAGGCGGGUUGCUGGGCCGACACUGACGCUGAUGCGCGAAAGCCAGGGGAGCGAACAGG